RNAcentral lists this ribosomal RNA (440 nucleotides) under uncultured bacterium. Its description in RNAcentral is "partial 16S ribosomal RNA". It matches the Rfam family "Bacterial small subunit ribosomal RNA", at positions 338 to 795 of the family's 1533-position model. The record is from RNAcentral.
CCUACGGGUGGCAGCAGUGGGGAAUAUUGCACAAUGGGGGAAACCCUGAUGCAGCGACGCCGCGUGAGUGAAGAAGUAUUUCGGUAUGUAAAGCUCUAUCAGCAGGGAAGAAAAUGACGGUACCUGAUUAAGAAACCCCGGCUAACUACGGGCCAGCAGCCGCGGUAAUAGGUAGGUGGCGAGCGUUAUCCGGAACCAUGGGGCGUAAAGAGGGAGCAGGCGGCCUGGAGGGUCUAUUGUUAAAAGGCAAUGGCUUAACCAUUGUAAGGCGAAGAAACCGGCAGGCUAGAGUUCUAAAGAGGAUCGUGGAAUUCCAUGUGUAGCGGUGAAAUGCGUAGAUAUAUGGAGGAACACCAGUGGCGAAGGCGACGAUCUGGGAAGAAACAGACGCUGAGUCCCGAAAGCGUGGGGAGCAAAUAGGAUUAGAUACCCCAGUAGUC